GGUCCGUUGGUCAAGGGGUUAAGACACCGCCUUUUCACGGCGGUAACACGGGUUCGAAUCCCGUACGGACUC
RNAcentral lists this transfer RNA (72 nucleotides) under Streptococcus agalactiae. RNAcentral's name for it is "tRNA-Glu". It matches the Rfam family "tRNA". Rfam says of the family: Transfer RNA (tRNA) molecules are approximately 80 nucleotides in length. The record is from RNAcentral. RNAcentral also lists the same sequence under 1 other name. Lineage: Bacteria; Bacillati; Bacillota; Bacilli; Lactobacillales; Streptococcaceae.